Rhagoletis zephyria (snowberry fruit fly) is the source of this 372-nucleotide long non-coding RNA. RefSeq lists it as uncharacterized. The record is from RefSeq and is a predicted model, not a curated record. Lineage: Eukaryota; Metazoa; Arthropoda; Insecta; Diptera; Tephritidae.
UUCAUUUCAAAUAAUGUUAGGUAUGUAUAUACAUAUGUAAAGUAUUUGAAAUGAAUUCCUUGCUAACAUGGCUCUAAAGUAAGUUCAUUAAGAGAGUUGAAGAAUAAAGCCAAGAGUCACAGAACAACAUAAAAUAAGACUCCGAAAGUAGGAAUUUAUGAGGCCAAUGAGAGUCAUUUAAGAGCUUCAAAAAGAGUUCAAAAUGAGCCGUAUAUGAGCCCAAUAAGAGUCCAAUAUGACUCAUAUUGAGGCUCUUUUGAUGUAUGAAUUUAAGCUCUUAUAGGUCGACCUUCGCAGGAAGGGAAACACCCUCAUUUCGGACUCUUAAAUGAGCUCAUUAUGAGCACAAAGGCUCCACAAUUGGACUCCUUA